This 367-nucleotide transfer RNA is filed under the name Parageobacillus toebii. RNAcentral's name for it is "partial 16S-23S ribosomal RNA intergenic spacer". The stretch from base 51 to 123 matches the Rfam family "tRNA". The record is from RNAcentral. Lineage: Bacteria; Bacillati; Bacillota; Bacilli; Caryophanales; Anoxybacillaceae.
AGCGUGNAGGUCGGUGGUUCAAGUCCACUUAGGCCCAUCCCUUUCUAUGUGGGGCCUUAGCUCAGCUGGGAGAGCGCCUGCUUUGCACGCAGGAGGUCAUCGGUUCGAUCCCGAUAGGCUCCACCAUUUUAGCGGAAAAAUACUGUGUCCAUGAGCACAUACAGGAAACAGUUUGGUUCCUUGAAAACUAGAUAACCGGAAGGAAAAGCGGAGGCGCCGCGGUUAGCCCCGAUAGGUGCUGGAGGGUCUGCGAGGAGGCUAUUGCCGCCACGGCAGGACCGAAGCGACCGUGAGGGGCUAGGUGCCGAAGCUAGACAUAGGAAGAAGCCGAGAAGCGAAGGCGGCAAGCAUGAAGCUGUUUCCGCAU